Molecule: unclassified non-coding RNA, 241 nt
Filed under: uncultured fungus
Lineage: Eukaryota; Fungi
Description: partial contains 5.8S ribosomal RNA, internal transcribed spacer 2, and large subunit ribosomal RNA
Rfam family: 5.8S ribosomal RNA (bases 1-52)
Source: RNAcentral
AACGCACAUUGCGCCCUGUGGUAUUCCGCAGGGCAUGCCUGUUCGAGCGUCAGUACAACACUCAAGCUCAGCUUGGUCUUGAGCCCAGCCGGUCACGGCGGGCUUUAAAGUCAGUGGCGGUGCCACCGGGCUCUAAGCGUAGUAAUACUCGUCGCUAUUGAGUCCCCGGUAGGUGUUGGCCAGCAACCCCAAACAUUCUAAGUUUGACCUCGGAUCAGGUAGGGAUACCCGCUGAACUUAA